CCUACGGGAGGCAGCAGUGAGGAAUCUUGCACAAUGGGCGAAAGCCUGAUGCAGCGACGCCGCGUGAGGGACGAAGGCCUUCGGGUUGUAAACCUCUGUCAGUGGGGAAGAAGAAUGACGGUACCCACUGAGGAAGCUUCGGCUAACUACGUGCCAGCAGCCGCGGUAAU
This 170-nucleotide ribosomal RNA is filed under the name uncultured bacterium. Its description in RNAcentral is "partial 16S ribosomal RNA". It matches the Rfam family "Bacterial small subunit ribosomal RNA", at positions 338 to 524 of the family's 1533-position model. The record is from RNAcentral.